AGUGACAGUAACAGUGACUUGUCACAGUGACUGCUCCAGUCACUGUGACAACUUUUUGGUUGGAACAGGCUGUCACAGUGACUGCUCCAGUCACUGUUACGUUACUUUCGACUCAUCUCUAUUUCCUACACAGCUGAAGAUCUACCUAAGAGUCUUAUUGAUUACAUAACUGAGCAGUGUCCCUGUCCCUGUGGAAAGAAAGUAUUUCGAAAUGUAUACUCGUCCUGUAUACUCGUACUGGAUCUGUACAAAUUAGCUUCAACAGUAGUUUAUAUUAACAACACAAGUCGUUUUAAAGUUCCCCUCGAAGUCUAUUUUUGCUCAACAAAAUGUUGGAAGAAGUAUGAAGGACAAGAACUCAUCUGAUUGCUGAUACUCAUAAGAGAAAACGAAAAUAUUUAAUUUAUCGGUAUUCUUUGUUUUUUUUAAAUUUUUUGUAGCUGUAUUAAAUGUGUAUUUUUUAUAAAUAAAAUUACAAAAAUAACAUAUGUUUCGGAAAUAUUUUUUAAAAAUAUUUUGGAAAGAUAUUUAUAAGCAGUUUUCAAAAUAAGGAAUGCUGCCACAACUAAAAUAGUGUCUUGAUAAAUUGUAGUGAAUUAAUUUUAAAAUAGCAAUCUUUUUAUGCCGUAUUUCUUUUUGUUCUUCAAAAUGGAAUUUUUUUGAAUGCCUAACUGUACAAAAAAUUUUGCAAUUUAUUUAUAAUUUUAUAAUGUAUUGAAUAUAUUGAAUUAUAUUCUACCAAAGCUUUUAAAAAUUGCAAGAUUUGUACAAUUGCCAAGUUUAAGCUCUUUUCCCAUUUAAACAUCAAUAAUUUAUUAUGCAUAUGUUAACUAAAAAAAUAUGUUGCAUACAUAACCAGCUGUCUUUAACAGAACAGGCAAUGCUUCAAACUGGUUUAAAUUAUUGUUUGAUGACAAAAAUAAAAUAAAUGUAUUUACACGCAGUCAUGUUUGAAAUUUAAUUUUCUUUAAACAAAAUAAUGUAAAUAAAAUUAAUUUUAUGAUUGGUU
This is a non-coding RNA of Parasteatoda tepidariorum (common house spider), 1009 nucleotides long. The record is from RefSeq and is a predicted model, not a curated record. Lineage: Eukaryota; Metazoa; Arthropoda; Arachnida; Araneae; Theridiidae.